Molecule: ribosomal RNA, 869 nt
Filed under: Streptomyces variabilis
Lineage: Bacteria; Bacillati; Actinomycetota; Actinomycetes; Kitasatosporales; Streptomycetaceae
Description: bacterial SSU rRNA
Rfam family: Bacterial small subunit ribosomal RNA
Source: RNAcentral
CCCUGGAAACGGGGUCUAAUACCGGAUACUGACCCGCUUGGGCAUCCAAGCGGUUCGAAAGCUCCGGCGGUGCAGGAUGAGCCCGCGGCCUAUCAGCUUGUUGGUGAGGUAAUGGCUCACCAAGGCGACGACGGGUAGCCGGCCUGAGAGGGCGACCGGCCACACUGGGACUGAGACACGGCCCAGACUCCUACGGGAGGCAGCAGUGGGGAAUAUUGCACAAUGGGCGAAAGCCUGAUGCAGCGACGCCGCGUGAGGGAUGACGGCCUUCGGGUUGUAAACCUCUUUCAGCAGGGAAGAAGCGAAAGUGACGGUACCUGCAGAAGAAGCGCCGGCUAACUACGUGCCAGCAGCCGCGGUAAUACGUAGGGCGCGAGCGUUGUCCGGAAUUAUUGGGCGUAAAGAGCUCGUAGGCGGCUUGUCACGUCGGUUGUGAAAGCCCGGGGCUUAACCCCGGGUCUGCAGUCGAUACGGGCAGGCUAGAGUUCGGUAGGGGAGAUCGGAAUUCCUGGUGUAGCGGUGAAAUGCGCAGAUAUCAGGAGGAACACCGGUGGCGAAGGCGGAUCUCUGGGCCGAUACUGACGCUGAGGAGCGAAAGCGUGGGGAGCGAACAGGAUUAGAUACUCUGGUAGUCCACGCCGUAAACGGUGGGCACUAGGUGUGGGCGACAUUCCACGUCGUCCGUGCCGCAGCUAACGCAUUAAGUGCCCCGCCUGGGGAGUACGGCCGCAAGGCUAAAACUCAAAGGAAUUGACGGGGGGCCCGCACAAGCGGCGGAGCAUGUGGUCAUUAAUUCGACGCAGCGCGGAAGAACUCUUUACCGAGGUCUUGACAUACACCGGAAAAAGCCAUCAGAGAUGGUCGCCCCC